UACAGAGGGUGCGAGCGUUAAUCGGAAUUACUGGGCGUAAAGCGUGCGUAGACGGUUAUUUAAGUCGGGUGUGAAAGCCCCGGGCUCAACCUGGGAAUUGCAUUCGAGACUGAAUAGCUAGGGUACGGUAGAGGGAAGUGGAAUUUCCGGUGUAGCGGUGAAAUGCGUAGAUAUCGGAAGGAACAUCAGUGGCGAAAGCGACUUCCUGGACCAGCACCGACGUUCAGGCACGAAAGCGUGGGGAGCAAACAGG
This 253-nucleotide ribosomal RNA is filed under the name uncultured bacterium. RNAcentral's name for it is "partial 16S ribosomal RNA". It matches the Rfam family "Bacterial small subunit ribosomal RNA", at positions 524 to 776 of the family's 1533-position model. The record is from RNAcentral.